Molecule: ribosomal RNA, 460 nt
Filed under: uncultured bacterium
Lineage: Bacteria
Description: partial 16S ribosomal RNA
Rfam family: Bacterial small subunit ribosomal RNA
Source: RNAcentral
CCUACGGGCGGCAGCAGUGAGGAAUAUUGGUCAAUGGACGAGAGUCUGAACCAGCCAAGUAGCGUGAAGGAUGACUGCCCUAUGGGUUGUAAACUUCUUUUAUAUGGGAAUAAAAUGUUCCACGUGUGGGAUUUUGUAUGUACCAUAUGAAUAAGGAUCAGCUAACUCCGUGCCAGCAGCCGCGGUAAUACGGAGGAUCCGAGCGUUAUCCGGAUUUAUUGGGUUUAAAGGGAGCGUAGGUGGAUUGUUAAGUCAGUUGUGAAAGUUUGCGGCUCAACCGUAAAAUUGCAGUUGAAACUGGCAGUCUUGAGUACAGUAGAGGUGGGCGGAAUUCGUGGUGUAGCGGUGAAAUGCUUAGAUAUCACGAAGAACUCCGAUUGCGAAGGCAGUUCACUGGACUGCAACUGACACUGAGGCUCGAAAGUGUGGGUAUCAAACAGGAUUAGAUACCCGAGUAGUC